GAAUUGUAUUUUCAAAAUGCAUUGCUAACACAACUGCACAUGUUUGUUUAUUGGAAAGAACAUCACAAAGGGUGACAAUCCCAUGUGUCAUGUGUAUGUUUUGUGUACAGCGUGCAUUAUAUGAAUCACAUUCAUUGACAAUUGAAUGCAAAUAGAAUGGUAAAUUUCAUUUAAUCAUAAAUAUGUUGUUGACAACUUAUAGCAAACAAAUACCAUGAGGGAAAUGUGAAAAGGAUUUUGAAAAGAAAAUUAAAAGAGCUUGCAAUUGCUGAACUGAUAAGCAAACAAAACAUACGUGUGUAUGCAAGAUUGUUGUAAUGCUUAGCAUCUUAUGCAAGGCUAUUGCAAUGAUUUUUUGUAUAGUGAUGCUACCUUUUUUUAGAAUUUGGAAUGUCUUUUUUUGAGUGUGAAUGGAAUUUUGUUUGGUACGAAAGGAAUGCCCUUUUAGAUUCAUUGUUUGAUUUG
This 465-nucleotide ribosomal RNA is filed under the name Coolia malayensis. Its description in RNAcentral is "LSU rRNA". It matches the Rfam family "Eukaryotic large subunit ribosomal RNA", at positions 140 to 597 of the family's 3401-position model. The record is from RNAcentral. Lineage: Eukaryota; Dinophyceae; Peridiniales; Ostreopsidaceae.